AUUGAACGCUGGCGGCAGGCCUAACACAUGCAAGUCGAGCGGAGCGGCGGACGGGUGAGUAAUGUCUAGGAAUCUGCCCGGUAGUGGGGGAUAACGUCCGGAAACGGGCGCUAAUACCGCAUACUAUCAGAUGAGCCUAGGUCGGAUUAGCUAGUUGGUGGGGUAAAGGCCUACAAAGGCGACGAUCCGUACCUGGUCUGAGAGGAUGAUCAGUAACACUGGAACUGAGACACGGUCCAGACUCCUACGGGAGGCGGCAGUGGGGAAUAUUGGACAAUGGGGGAAAGCCUGAUCCAGCCAUGCCGCGUGUGUGUGGAAGGUCUUCGGAUUGUAAAGCACGUUAAGUUGGGAGGCGUUACCAACAGAAUAAGCACCGGCUAACUGCGUGCCAGCAGCCGCGGUAAUAC
RNAcentral lists this ribosomal RNA (407 nucleotides) under uncultured bacterium. Its description in RNAcentral is "partial 16S ribosomal RNA". It matches the Rfam family "Bacterial small subunit ribosomal RNA", at positions 30 to 526 of the family's 1533-position model. The record is from RNAcentral.